GACGAACGCUGGCGGCGUGCUUAACACAUGCAAGUCGAGCGGUAAGGCCCUUUUGGGGGUACACGAGCGGCGAACGGGUGAGUAACACGUGGGUGACCUGCCCUCAGCUCUGGGGAUAAGCCUGGGAAACUGGGUCUAAUACUGGAUAUGACCUUUCCUCGCAUGGGGUUGGGUGGAAAGUUUUUCGGCGUGGGGGAUGGGCCCGCGGCCUAUCAGCUUGGUUGGUGGGGUGAUGGCCUACCAAGGCGACGACGGGUAGCCGGCCUGAGAGGGCGACCGG
RNAcentral lists this ribosomal RNA (280 nucleotides) under uncultured bacterium. RNAcentral describes it as "partial 16S ribosomal RNA". It matches the Rfam family "Bacterial small subunit ribosomal RNA", at positions 28 to 307 of the family's 1533-position model. The record is from RNAcentral.